Molecule: long non-coding RNA, 762 nt
Organism: Bos indicus x Bos taurus (hybrid cattle)
Lineage: Eukaryota; Metazoa; Chordata; Mammalia; Artiodactyla; Bovidae
Source: Ensembl
UCAAGAGAGAAGAGAAUUUCAGGAGGAAGGCAGUGGUUAAUACUGCCAACUGACACAAAUAGGUCAGCUAAGGUUUUCAUGCAAAGGAAAAAAAAAAGCAUUUGAUUUAGCAACUUGGGGGUGGAGUGUGAGGGUGGUGUUCCAGUUUUGCCAGAGCCCCUUGAGUAGAGUUGUUAGGGUUGGAAUCCAGAUUGCAGUCUGUGGAAGAGUAGACAGGAGAGUAUGAAGGCCUCUGGUUCUAUUCAGCUGCCUCCUCUUUCGGCUACGCUGCCUCUCCAGGCGGGAGGACUUGGGGAUCUGCAGAGAAGGGAGCCUUUGCAGGUGUAGUGCUGAAGACCCGUUUACCAGGUUUUUUAAUCUGUGGGCCUCCACUCAGUCAUCGAUGGGAGAAGAUUUCGGUUGGAGCUGCUUUGGCUUACAAAGGUAAUUGUAGCUGUUUGUGGAGAAAGGCUGACCUUAUAACCCCUCACCAAUUUAUCCAGAGACUAAGUACCGUCCUUUGUCGUAUAGCUGCCAUAUACCUUUUUAAUGUGCAUUAUUUCAUAUUUGUUUUUUACCAGGUGAUAUUUAGAGACAAGGAUAAAGUGACAUUGAAUGUAAAAGAAGAAAGUAUUGGUAAAGAAAUAUUCAAGGAGGUGUGUUCAAGUGGAAGGGGACGAGGAUAAACCUGUGGCUGAUUCAUGCCGAUGUUUGGUAGAAAGUAACACAGUAGUGUAAAGCAAUUACCCUUCAAUUAAAAAUAAAUAAAUUUACCAAGAGACA